CCCUUAGAUGUUCUGGGCCGCACGCGUGCUACACUGAGUGGAUCAGCGGGUCAGGUUGCGCGAAAGUGUUUCCUAAUCUUGAAAUCCGCUCGUGAUGGGGAUUGACGGUUGCAAUUUUCCGUCAUGAACGAGGAAUAACUUGUAAGCGCGGGUCAUCAUCCCGCGCUGAAUACGUCCCUGCCCUUUGUACACACCGCCCGUCGCUCCUACCGAUUGAGUGGUCCGGUGAGGCUUUGGGAUCUGAGCGGAAAGAGCGUUUCGCUGUUUCUGCUCGGAAAACUCAGUCGAACCUUAUCAUUUAGAGGAAGGAGAAGUCGUAACA
This 322-nucleotide ribosomal RNA is filed under the name uncultured eukaryote. Its description in RNAcentral is "partial 18S ribosomal RNA". It matches the Rfam family "Eukaryotic small subunit ribosomal RNA", at positions 1470 to 1796 of the family's 1831-position model. The record is from RNAcentral.